GCCUACGACCAUAUCACCCUGAAUGCGCCUGAUCUCGUCUGAUCUCAGAAGCUAAGCAGGUUCGAGCCUGGUGCGUACUUGGAUGGGAGACUGCCUGCGAAUACCAGGUGUUGUAGACU
Molecule: ribosomal RNA, 119 nt
Filed under: Petromyzon marinus (sea lamprey)
Lineage: Eukaryota; Metazoa; Chordata; Hyperoartia; Petromyzontiformes; Petromyzontidae
Source: RNAcentral